RNAcentral lists this long non-coding RNA (1014 nucleotides) under Parus major (Great Tit). RNAcentral describes it as "lncRNA (ENSPMJG00000005660.1)". The record is from RNAcentral. Lineage: Eukaryota; Metazoa; Chordata; Aves; Passeriformes; Paridae.
CUUGAUUUAGAACCUCCUGUCUUGGAGGGGGAGAUACACUUCAUUGCAAGCUGUCCACACAGAAAUGAUGCACAGAGAAAAGUACUGAACUGACUUGGAUAAUCUCACUAUUUUACAGGCAAACCAAGUAAAUAAAACAGCUUUUUCCUCCAAUAACUUCUCUGGUAGAAAACCAGAUGCUUUCUGUCACGUAUCUCCAUAUUUCUCAUUAGGCAAACUCUGUAAGAAUGUAUUUUUAACAUUCUUUAGCCCAAAAAUGUUUAAGUUUCUCCAAGGAAAGCUGGAUCACCUGUUUCAGGCGUAUUCAGGGUUGAUUUUUUUUUAUUUUUUAUUUUCUGACACCUGAAACUUGUGUAGUUUAUAUAAUACCGUAAAUUAUGUGCCUGGUAAAUGUACAGGGGUUUUGGUUGUUGUUGUGUUUUGUUUUGUUUUUGAUUGUGUGUGCGAGGGAGCUUAUUUUAAAAAGUGGCUAGAAUCUUCUCGCUGGGCAGGAGGAUGAAAUGUACUUACAGAUGUUUCUAGUGACUCGAAAUAUAUGAUAGACUUAGGCUUUGGUCCAAGACACACUGAAGGAAUCAAUAACCUUUUCUGGUCUUUCUUUUCCUUGAGGCGAGGCUGGUCUGUUUUAAAUUGUCGUGGGGUGUCUGCUGCUCAGUUUCACCUCUGGCUGCAGAGGGUGGGUCGAGUUUCGGGAGCCCAGCAGAGCUGAGGGAGCCUGGGCAGCGCUGCCUUCCGGCUGGAAGAGGCUGUCGGACGUUGGGCCCCGCAGGACAAAGGUGGAGCCGAGCACGGAAUCCUUUCUCCCUGUCCCCCCCACCGCUGGCUAUGCCACUGGAUGGCAGCAUUGGCUACGCGUUGGCACCGGCGGCACCGCGCCGGGCUGGGCUCCGGUUCAGCCUCGUUAAACAUCAGCCGGUUUGCUGCAAAGAACCUGGAAUGAGAAGAGUGCUGAUGAUUCUUUCUCUGGAGUGUGAAUCCUGGUGGUACAUCAGGCACAUCCUGAUGUCUAACUAG